RNAcentral lists this unclassified non-coding RNA (253 nucleotides) under uncultured Rickettsiales bacterium. Its description in RNAcentral is "contains 16S-23S intergenic spacer region". It matches the Rfam family "Bacterial small subunit ribosomal RNA", at positions 524 to 776 of the family's 1533-position model. Lineage: Bacteria; Pseudomonadati; Pseudomonadota; Alphaproteobacteria; Rickettsiales. The record is from RNAcentral.
UACGAAGGGUGCUAGCGUUGUUCGGAAUCACUGGGCGUAAAGCGCGCGUAGGCGGUGACACAAGUCAGGGGUGAAAUCCCGGAGCUCAACUCCGGAAUUGCCUUUGAAACUAGGUUGCUAGAGUGUCGGAGGGGAUAGCGGAAUUGCUAAUGUAGAGGUGAAAUUCGUAGAUAUUAGCAGGAACACCGGUGGCGAAGGCGGCUAUCUGGACGACAACUGACGCUGAGGCGCGAAAGCGUGGGGAUCAAACAGG